This 355-nucleotide ribosomal RNA is filed under the name uncultured bacterium. Its description in RNAcentral is "bacterial SSU rRNA". It matches the Rfam family "Bacterial small subunit ribosomal RNA", at positions 8 to 350 of the family's 1533-position model. The record is from RNAcentral.
AGAGUUUGAUCCUGGCUCAGGAUGAACGCUAGCUACAGGCUUAACACAUGCAAGUCGAGGGGAAACGACAUCGAAAGCUUGCUUUUGAUGGGCGUCGACCGGCGCACGGGUGAGUAACGCGUAUCCAACCUGCCCACCACUUGGGGAUAACCUUGCGAAAGUAAGACUAAUACCCAAUGACGUCUCUAGAAGACAUCUGAAAGAGAUUAAAGAUUUAUCGGUGAUGGAUGGGGAUGCGUCUGAUUAGCUUGUUGGCGGGGUAACGGCCACCGAAGGCGACGAUCAGUAGGGGUUCUGAGAGGAAGGUCCCCCANACUUGGAACUGAGACACGGUCCAAACUCCGUAACGGAGGCA